UUUUAAAAGGAACGUCUGCCACUGUUUAAUGAAGGGCCGCGGUAUUUUGACCGUGCAAAGGUAGCAUAAUCAUUAGUCUUUUAAUUGGAGAAUGGAAUGAAUGGCUUAAUGAUUUUUUUCUGUUAUAUUUAUUAAAAAAAAUAAUUUUGAUUUUAAAUGAAAAUAUUUAAUUAAUUUAGUUAGACGAUAAGACCCUAUAGAAUUUUAUUUUUAAUAUAUUAAAUAAUAUAAAAGAAGUUUAAAUGGGGCAUUUUUUGAUUAAUUAAAAUUUCUAAUUAAUUAUUUAAAAAUAUCUUUAUUUAAAUAUUUUUAAAAAAUUACCUUAGGGAUAACAGCGUAAUAAUUUUUAAGAGUUCAUAUCGACAAAAUAGUUUGCGACCUCGAUGUUGAAUUAAAAUACUUUUAUGGAGCAGCUUUUAUAAUAAGUAGUCUGUUCGACUAUUAAAAUUUUACAUGAUUUGAGU
RNAcentral lists this ribosomal RNA (464 nucleotides) under Tomocerus nigrus. RNAcentral's name for it is "partial 16S ribosomal RNA". The stretch from base 328 to 464 matches the Rfam family "Bacterial large subunit ribosomal RNA", at positions 2473 to 2610 of the family's 2925-position model. The record is from RNAcentral. Lineage: Eukaryota; Metazoa; Arthropoda; Collembola; Entomobryomorpha; Tomoceridae.